CACCGCGGUUAUACGAGGGACCCAAGUUGACAGCCGCCGGCGUAAAGAGUGGUUAAGAUGCCCCAAACCUAAAGUCGAACAGUCCCAUUGCUGUUAUAAGCUUAUGAAGACAUGAAGCCCGACAACGAAAGUGACUUUAAUCCCUCUGAUUCCACGAAAGCUAGGGCA
This 168-nucleotide ribosomal RNA is filed under the name Ammolabrus dicrus (sand wrasse). RNAcentral's name for it is "partial 12S rRNA". Lineage: Eukaryota; Metazoa; Chordata; Actinopteri; Labriformes; Labridae. The record is from RNAcentral.